This is a long non-coding RNA of Anguilla rostrata (American eel), 1979 nucleotides long. RefSeq lists it as uncharacterized. The transcript is spliced from 5 exons. The record is from RefSeq and is a predicted model, not a curated record. NCBI's taxonomy places the organism in Eukaryota, Metazoa, Chordata, Actinopteri, Anguilliformes, Anguillidae.
CGUUAGGUGCUAUAUAGAUGUGUUUGGUAUCUAUAGGUUGCAAAAUAUUUGAACGAGGUCAAAAUCUUAUUGAAUAAUUAUACAGGAUUUUGUAAAGCAGUGUAUUUCAAACUACUGUUUAUAACUAAAUAUUUUAUUUUUCAUUGAGACACCGCCCUAAAAGUGUCAAGGGUGGGGGUUUGGGGUUACACACCAUCCAUAAAUUAGGCCCCAGGACCCUUUACUUUGGAGAGAAGCAAGAAUGGCUGGAGUCGACUUUUACUCUGCAUCAUGUGAGUACCCACAUUUAUUUGAGUUUCUUUUUCUAAUUCUCUGAAAUAAAUACACUUAACGCAAAAGCCUGUUAAAGCUAAAGUUUUUUUUUUUGUUUUUUUUUUUAAACAGAUACGCCCAGCACUCAAGUCAUGAACGAAGUUCUAGAGAUCUUGACAACUGAUGAAGAGCUGGUGCCAAGUCUACCAACGAAUCCACAAACACCAGAGCAAGUGCGGAUCAAUCCUGCCGAGGAGAGCGCAAGCUUAUCGACACCUACACUUAUUUGGCCAGAAGAACCAGAAAAAACUUUUGAAGAGGGGAAAAAAUCCCGCCUAAAGCUCAACAAAAAAAGGAGACUUUUUAGCGAAUCAGGUACUGAGAACCACGUGGCAGAGAGGGCCUUGGGAGAAACGGUGGUGAAACAGAUCACAGCACAAAAACCUAUACAGAUUGAAGAGUGCGUAACAGCUGAGGAAACCAAUCAACAGACCAGAGAAUCACACCUCCAGGAGCAAACAGUUGAGGAAGCCCCUGGACACAGAGAGGACAGCAGUGCUGAGGAAAGAAAACAACAGGCCCGAGAAUCACAUCUCCAGGAGCAACCAGCGGCCCAAACAAUUCUCCAGAAGCCAGGGGACACCGAAAGACGGCCCUUUAAGGUCCCAGCCCAUUUGGAAGCUCUGAAAAUCUUCAAUCGUGAGUUACAUUUGGCUGAACAACGUCUCGCGGUGUUGAAGGAGUCUGAGUCUCAUCUGUUUGAACAGCGUCUCGCAGUGCUGAAGGAGUCUGAGUAUCGUUUGUCAGAACGGCUUAAGGUGUUUCAGACAAUCUUUGAGAAAUAUUAGAAAUGGCACAGAGGCAACAACCAGAGCAGUUAGGCAGGGCACACAGCACAGAGAACAUUAACUCACAAAUUUUACAUGCAAUUCAAGCUAUAACUCAAAACAACAGCCCACAAGCUGCUGAAAACAUUCCAAAUGUUUUUAUAAACCCAAAUCUGCUACAGCUUGUUAACAAUAUUAACCAUGACACUAACGACAUGCAUGAAAUGGCUGGUGAUUACUUUGAUCGGUUGAACGAGGCUUUGGCAAACCUUACCGCCGGUGAUGGUGCACUAACCCCUGCAGCAGACUCUCUUGGUUUUCUGAACGAUGCUUUAGAGCGACUAAACCAGGAAGGGGGGAAUCUUAAUGAAUCACCACUAACGCCUACCUCUGAUAACCCACAAGUUUCUGACGAUGUGCAUGCUGCCGCUGCUAAUAGUAAUGAUGAUGAUGAUGGUGUGGUGACUUGUGUUCCUGACAUGGUAGUGGUGCAAAGGCCCUCCUUUAAUUGUGUCGAAAUUAGGCAACGGUUUAACUUUGCAUCCUUGCACGACAUGGACAGCUAUGAGGACUUCUAUAAUGUGUUGCUAAACUUACUUGAUCAUGUAUUGCAUAGAGCUAUGCAGCUGGCUAGACCCAAUGACGUGAUUCAGCUGGAGUUGCGUGGUGACUCCCUGUCUGAGGGUGUGUCCAUAAUUGCUAAUGGCGCUAGUGUGGAUCUGGACACAUUUUUGGGAAUGGUUGGGGAUCUGGUUCAGAGCAAUUUUGAAAUCCUUUCUGAUGAUACAUUGGAACUGGUGGUUCAGAUAGUUCAAAACCCAAAUGGUGGUACCCGUAGAAAAAUAGCCACAUGUCUCAGAAAUGAGGUUUUAAGAAAAAAACUACGGCAUCUAUUUGUAA